RNAcentral lists this unclassified non-coding RNA (146 nucleotides) under soil metagenome. RNAcentral describes it as "partial internal transcribed spacer 1". The record is from RNAcentral.
UAAUAAGUGUUUUAUGGCACUUUUUAAAUCCAGUAUCCACCUUGUGUGCAAUGUCAGUCGAUCUUCUUCAUGGAGAUCGACCAAACAUCAACCUUUAUCUUUUAACUCUUUGUCUGAAAAAUAUUAUGAAUAAACAAUUCAAAAUA